RNAcentral lists this ribosomal RNA (1294 nucleotides) under Clostridioides difficile. RNAcentral's name for it is "partial 23S ribosomal RNA". It matches the Rfam family "Bacterial large subunit ribosomal RNA", at positions 1 to 1307 of the family's 2925-position model. Lineage: Bacteria; Bacillati; Bacillota; Clostridia; Peptostreptococcales; Peptostreptococcaceae. The record is from RNAcentral.
GGUCAAGUUAUUAAGGGUGCAGGGCGGAUGCCUUGGCACUAGGAGCCGAUGAAGGACGUGAUAAGCUGCGAUAAGCUUCGGGGAGUUGCACGUAAACUUUGAUCCGAAGAUUUCCGAAUGAGGAAACUCACUUAGAGUAAUGUCUAAGUAUCAUUAAGUGAAUACAUAGCUUAAUGAGGGGAACUCAGGGAACUGAAACAUCUAAGUACCUGAAGGAAGAGAAAGAAAUUCGAUUCCGUAAGUAGCGGCGAGCGAACGCGGAUUAGCCCAAACCAAUAAAGUUUUCUUUAUUGGGGUUGCGGACAUAUCAUAACGAAGAGGUAUCGUAAUUGAAGAGGUUUGGAAAGACCCACCACAGAAGGUAAUAGUCCUGUAUGUUAAACGAGAAGACUUUAGAUAUGAUCCAGAGUACCACGGGACACGUGAAACCCUGUGGGAAGCAGGAGGGACCACCCUCCAAGGCUAAAUACUACCUAGUGACCGAUAGCGUAUAGUACCGUGAGGGAAAGGUGAAAAGAACCCCGGGAGGGGAGUGAAAUAGAACCUGAAACCCUGCACUUACAAGCUGUGGAAGCACAUUUCUUGUGUGACCGCGUACUUUUUGUAGAACGGGCCAACGAGUUACGUUAAGUAGCAAGGUUAAGCACUUAAGGUGCGGAGCCGUAGCGAAAGCGAGUUUUAACUGAGCGUUCAGUUACUUGACGUAGACCCGAAACCGGGCGACCUACCCAUGAGCAGGAUGAAGCGAAAGUAAAAUUUCGUGGAGGUCCGAACCCACGAGCGUUGAAAAGCUCGGGGAUGACUUGUGGGUAGCGGUGAAAUUCCAAUCGAGCCCGGAGAUAGCUGGUUCUCCCCGAAAUAGCUUUAGGGCUAGCCUCAAGGUGAGAGAUACGGAGGUAGAGCACUGAAUGUCCUAGGGGGUAUUGCACCUACCGAAGACUAUCAAACUCCGAAUGCCGUCAUCUUAUACUUGGGAGUCAGACUGUGGGUGAUAAGAUUCAUAGUCGAAAGGGCAACAGCCCAGAUCGUCAGCUAAGGUCCCUAAAUGUAAGUUAAGUGGUAAAGGAUGUGGGAUUGCACAGACAACCAGGAUGUUGGCUUAGAAGCAGCCACUCAUUCAAAGAGUGCGUAAUAGCUCACUGGUCGAGUGAUCCUGCGCCGAAGAUUUCCGGGGCUAAAACUUACUACCGAAGCUACGGCAUCAGUAAUGAUGGGUAGGGGAGCUUCCCAUACGGGUUGAAGCAUGACCGUAAGGACAUGUGGACAGUAUGGGAGUGAGAAUGUUGGCAUGAGU